This is an RNA transcript of Schistocerca gregaria, 1294 nucleotides long. RefSeq lists it as uncharacterized. The record is from RefSeq and is a predicted model, not a curated record. NCBI's taxonomy places the organism in Eukaryota, Metazoa, Arthropoda, Insecta, Orthoptera, Acrididae. The transcript is spliced from 8 exons.
UCCGUAGGUGCGACUAUGGAUGGUGACAUCUAGUUCGUAGAGUGCCUUGCGCAGUCGUGGAGGAAGCGUGCGGAUUUAGUAGGCCCCGCAAAUAUUAGGUGUGGUUUUGAACUCUCAUCCGUAGGCACUUGAGACUUUGUAGAACGAUAGUCACCGCCUGAACUGAUCGGUAGCAUCAGAGCAUUCUUAUCUGGCGUUGGUUACUAGGAAGAAGACUUGACGUGUAUGAAUUCCUAUUGAUCCGGCGUAGUCGCUUCCCAUCAGUGCAGGAAGACAUCAAGGUCCUAUUGUCUGGCGCAAUGGUCAGGACUUCUCAUCUAUCCAAUGGAGGGCACAUGACGACCUGUGUGGUAGUGACCACUUCCCCAUCUUCCUGUCACUGCCCCAGGGUCAGCCACACGAACGCCUGCACAGAUGGGCUUUGAGCAAGGUGGACUGGGAACUUUCACCUCUGCUGUCACCGCUGAAUCUCCACCACACGGUAACAUCGAUGUGAUAGUUGAGCAGGCGUUGUCUGCCAGGAAGACGACUUUAUAUAUAGGAACUCAUAUUGGUUCGACAAAGUCGUGUCCAUCUACGCAGGAAGACAUCAUGGUCACUUACGUCUGACAAAUGGAGUUAUCUGCCAGGAAGGAGACUUGACAUAUAUGAAUUGAGAGUGGUUCGGCAUGGGCACUUCCAAGCUGUACAGGAAGAAAUCAGGGUGACUGUCUGGCGCAAUGGUGUAGUUGGAAGGACUUCAUAAACAAUGUCUUUCAAGAACCCCACAAGAGGCGUCAAGUCUGGCGAACGAGCCGGCCACGACACAUCUCCUCCGCGCCCAAUCCAACGACUUGGGAAUUCUCUCUGCAACUCCUUUCUGUCCACCAGUGAAAAAAUGUCGGACACUCAUCGUGUUGCUGCCACAUUCUGUUCCUCGUUCCUAAAGAUUUCUCUGCCAGGAAGGAGACUUGACGUCUAUGAAUUUACAAUGGAUCGGCCUGGGCACUUCCAAGCUGUACAGGAAGACAUCAGGGUGACUGUCUGGUGCAAAGGAGCUGUACCAGAUAGCCUGGCGUCACCACCACAAAGAUGGUACCAUCAUUACAUGUCGGACGUCGUAGGCUGGGCAUACUGGUAAACCAGGACAGGCCGCGAACUGUGGCAGAACUGACAUCAGACUUUAAUGCUGGUCAGAGUACACGUGUCUGAACACAGUGCACUGAAAACUCCUGAUGACACAUGCAUGUGCCUGCCAGAUGAAUAUAAAGAUGUAAUUUUCCUAUCAGAAUUAUUAAAUAUAGAUUAAGAGGAC